AGGUCCACGGAGGAGUGACUUCUAAGCAAGAAUCUGAAAAAAAUGAGGAUAUCUAAGGAGGGAACAAAUGGUUCAAAAGCCCUAUAAUUGCAAGCAGGCAUGAUGAAGCAAUUGUAGUUGUCCUGACUCUCAACACCGUGGAACUCAAAGGAGAUGGAAAGAUUCUUUCUCUCCCUCAUAUAUUUUCUCUCUGUCUAUAUAUAUAGAAUAUGAGACAUUUCCCUAAUCAUUAUGUGUAAUUACAAUUACAUAUAUAUAUGUAUGUAAUAUAUAAACAUAUAUAUGUAAUUGUAAUUACACAUAAUGAUUAGGGAAAUGUCUCAUAUUCUACUCAAAAAUAAGCAAUAUAGCAAUUACUGUUUUUUACAUUUUACAGUUACAGUUUCAGAGAAAGCUUUCCCCCACUCAAGGAUUAUUCUAAUGUCAGAGUAGAAUAAAAAAUAAGUGCAGCGAUGCUGACUCUUCCAAGCUUAACAUUUCUCACAAGUCAAUUAGCUUUGUACUGGGAGGAGGGCGUGAAGGGCUGCUUGCGGUAGUUGUGUAGCAGCAGCACAAUGGCCGCAGACAAGGAAAACAGUUUCUAGGAAUUCCUCGUAUAUAAUUUUAUAUUUUUGACAAGAUUAAUGACCCAUGCUCCCUUCCUCUCCAUUUCUUUUUUUGGAAUUCUGUUGGUAUGUAGUUACUAUAUUUUAUUAAAGGAAAUUAGCCUUAUCUCUUAUUAUAUUUUAUUAAAGAAAAUUAUUAUAUUAUUCCUUUAUAUUUUUAUUAAAGGAUUUUAUUAUUAUUAAAGGAAAUUAGCCUUAUCUCUUAUUAUAUUUUUUAUGACCUUCAAAGUAGUGUCUCUGCUUAAAAGUGUACCCUGGCCGGGCGUGGUGGCUCACACCUGUAAUUCCAGCACUUUGGGAGGCCGAGGCGGGUGGAUCACGAGGUCAGGAGAUCGAGACCAUCCUGGCUAACACGGUGAAACCCCGUCUGUACUAAAAAUACAAAAAAUUAGCAGGGCAUAGUGGCGGGCACCUGUAGUCCCAGCUACUCAGGAGGCUCAGGCAGGAGAAUGGCGUGAACCCGGGAGACGGAGCUUGCGGUGAGCUGAGAUCGCACCGCUGCACUCCAGCCUGGGCGACAGAGCAAGACUCCGUCUCAAAAAAAAAAAAAAAGUGUACCCUGAAGCACACAUCAAGCGACAUGUAGAGUUCAUAAAUUCUGGCCAAAUGGUCAUACCUCAAACCUCAUCAGCAGUAAGGCUCUUUACUUGCACUGACAAAUAUGAACGCUGGGGAAUUUGGAAAUGAUAUAUAAUAUAAAAUAUUAUAUAUAUAAUAGAUAUAUAAUAUAUAAUAUAUAUAAUACAUAUAUAUUAUAUAUGUAAUAGAUAUACAAUAUAUAAUAUAUAAUAGAUAUAUAAUAUUAUAUAUAAUAGAUAUAUAAUAUAUAACUUUCCAUGUGAUUUUCCUCUUAAUUUUUUUCUAGCUGAUCCAUAUGAAUUCCUCUUAUUAAGAAAAAUAAAGCAUCCAGGAUUCAAUGAAGAACUGACUAUCACCUUGUUAAUCAUUCAGAAACAUGUUGCACGCUUAAGCCAUUUUUGAUAUAGAUACUGAAACAAUUACUUGCUAAGAGCAAUCUUGAAGGUAUGGAUAAGGCCCUGAGUCAUCUUCCUGAGCUGAAUGAUAGUUAAGCUGAAUGUACGUAUAAAAUAUGAUUUUCUAACCACUUGCUCGCCAACAAGGAAAACUUUUAAGUAGAGCAGAACCUGAAUAGACAAGACAUUUCUUUCUUUUGGUAGAAAAUGAUUUACCAUCACUGUGUAGUUAAUUGUAGACUAGGUAAUUUUAACUUUGUGAUUUAUUGCCGGAGACAUUUUCUUCUGUACUGUAAAGUGUGUGUCAAAAAAAAAUAGCGAUUUUGGAGGAUUAGGGGACUUUGAUAAAUUGCCUGCAAUUCUGGCAGUAUGAACUGCAUAUUAAUUUCUCUCUGUCAAGAACAUUUUUAUUUAUUAAUUCCUUACAAAAACUCCCUAAACUUUGGAACAGCUCUCAAUUGCCUGUAUUCUUUUUUUUCUUAUUAUGGUACUCUUCUAGAGAUUUGGCUUGCAUCUGUGAAUAAGCCAGGACAUCUUCAGAAAUUGUCUGAUUAAAAACACCACCAAUGGAGUUUCAUUAAAUUUGUAUUGCUCUGACUAGUGAAACACACACAUCUAUGUUGCUGAGGAUAUUUUACUGCAGUUCGAGUUGUAAUAAUAGCUCUGUUUAAGAUCCGUCAGUCACUUGAAUCUUCUCUAAGGCUUUGUAUGUUAGAAGUUAAUUUGCUUUCUUACAAGGCCACAUUCUAUCUUGUAACUAAACAACUGAAUUUUAUGUCUUAGCGUAGAUGGUUUAUUACUUUCUGGUUUUUCUUUAGUAAGAAUCCUAUAAAAACACUAGUAUUUUUCUCUGAGUUUAAAAUUCAAUACAUGCCUACUGAUAUGGUUAGGCUUUGUAUCCCCACCUGAAUCUCGUCUUGAAUUGUAAUCCCCAUAGCCCCCAUAAUCCCCACAGGUCAAGGGAGAGACCAGGUGGAGGUAAUUGAAUCAUGGGGGCAGUUUCCCCUGUGCUGUUCUUGUGAUAGUGAGUUCUCACGAGAUUUGAUGGUUUUAUAAGGGAUUCUUUCCCCUUUGCUCGGCACUUCUUCAUGCUGCCUUGCGAAGAAGCUGGCUUGCUUCCUCUUUGUCUUCCGCCAUGAUUGUAGAUUUCCUGAGGCCUCCCAAGCUGUGCUGAACUGUGAGCCAAUUAAACUUCUUUCCUUUAUA
This 2785-nucleotide long non-coding RNA is filed under the name Homo sapiens (human). RNAcentral describes it as "non-protein coding lnc-EXOC2-29:5". The record is from RNAcentral. Lineage: Eukaryota; Metazoa; Chordata; Mammalia; Primates; Hominidae.